Molecule: long non-coding RNA, 1096 nt
Filed under: Equus caballus (horse)
Lineage: Eukaryota; Metazoa; Chordata; Mammalia; Perissodactyla; Equidae
Description: lncRNA (ENSECAG00000051452.1)
Source: RNAcentral
AGGCAACAAAGUUUCAUUGUCUUUUGAUGCAAGCCCACACAUUCCAGGCACAGAUGUGCACAGUGGGGCAACUACUGAAAAGCAGACAAGAAGCCACUCUGUCACCAGCAUUGGGCCUGGCGCCAGGCGUCUUCCUUUCUUCGAACCCAUGACGGGGCUGAGGCCCUCAGAAGUGAGUCAUGGAGGAACGCAGGCAUCUGCCCACGGAGGGAGACCCAUUUACUCAGGGAAAAUAUCUGCAGGCAGUCUUUGUGCUUUGCUGUGCCAGAAGCUGUUAAGCCUGAUUCACACCACUGCCACUGUGGGACUGAACCCCCGCUGACGACAAAAAGAGCACAGGGAAGAAGCGAAAAUAGCUUAUUUUCAAUGACUUGCUGAAAACUCCCAGAUGUGAGCUGCGAUGGCCGUGUGGUGCACACAUUUGGGCUCUGAGUAUGGAUGUUCUCUCUAAAUAUCCCCCUGCUGCUCAGCAAAUUGAGGCCAACUGGGAAACAUCUCCCGAAAGAUUACCAGCCUGGAUCAGGGCAAUCCAGCCAGCAAGGCAGAUGUUCAUUCCUCUCUUCAAGUCUGUGGGAAUAAGAUUCUGGCAUUUGCUAUGUACCAGGCAGUGUGCUACGCAUGGAGUAACUAAGAAAAAAAAAAAAAUGCAGCGCCUGCUCUCAAGCAGCUCACAGCUAAUGAAGCAACAGUCAAGUAAAGUGGCAGUGACAAAGCAGUGAAUAUGGAAAGGAAGGACGCAGGAAGCAUGGAGCCAGGCAUCAGGGAAGAUGUCCCAGAGAAGGGGCACCUGCGCUGGCUCCUGGGGGUUUACAGCGACUCCACACCACCAAGGAUGGGGGACCAUUCUUCCACCCACAGCAACAAUCCUGACCCUCCCAGAAUCUCCAACAAGAUCCUCAGCUCUUCUUGGAAGAUAAUUUGACCACAUGAGCCAGGAAUCACCGCUGUUAUGAGCUGAAUGUUUGUGUCUUCCCCCAAGUUCAAUAUGUUGAAAUCCUAACCUCCAACGUGAUGGUCUUGGGAGGUGGGGCCUUUGGGAGGUGAUUAGGGCAUGAGGGUGGAGCCCUCAUAAACGAGAGUAGCGCCCUCAUGAAAG